RNAcentral lists this ribosomal RNA (253 nucleotides) under uncultured archaeon. Its description in RNAcentral is "partial 16S ribosomal RNA". It matches the Rfam family "Archaeal small subunit ribosomal RNA", at positions 474 to 727 of the family's 1478-position model. The record is from RNAcentral.
UACCCGCUCCCCGAGUGGUGGGGGCUUUUACUGGGCCUAAAGCGCCCGUAGCCGGCUCGGCGUGUCUCUCGUUAAAUCCACAGGCCUAACCUGUGGGCCGCGGGAGAUACUGCCGAGCUUGGGGGUGGGAGAGGCGCCCGGUAUUCCCGGGGUAGGGGUAAAAUCCUCUGAUCCCGGGAGGACCACCAGUGGCGAAGGCGGGGCGCCAGAACACGCCCGACGGUGAGGGGCGAAAGCUGGGGGAGCAAACGGG